This 214-nucleotide long non-coding RNA is filed under the name Elaeis guineensis (African oil palm). RNAcentral's name for it is "long non-coding RNA (EGUI_LNC052353)". The record is from RNAcentral. Lineage: Eukaryota; Viridiplantae; Streptophyta; Magnoliopsida; Arecales; Arecaceae.
ACGGAUCCCAUGUGGCUCCACCACUCCCUGGCGGGUCGCGACAACGGAUGCCGCUCCACUCUCCGCAACUGAUUCCACAUGGCGAGCCAUGGUGACGGCCACGACUAGCCACGACUCCACCCCAUUACUCUUCAUGAUAAAUUCCUUCUGGCUCCGUGCGGCCCACUACUAGACGGUUACAAAUGUCGCUAUCAAUCCGUUGCUCCCUCUGCCU